UACGAACGCUGGCGGCGUGCUUAACACAUGCAAGUCGAACGGAAAGGCCUCUUUCGGGGGGUACUCGAGUGGCGAACGGGUGAGUAACACGUGAGUAACCUGCCCUUGACUUUGGGAUAACUUCAGGAAACUGGGGCUAAUACCGGAUAGGAGCUCCUGCUGCAUGGUGGGGGUUGGAAAGUUUCGGCGGUUGGGGAUGGACUCGCGGCUUAUCAGCUUGUUGGUGGGGUAGUGGCUUACCAAGGCUUUGACGGGUAGCCGGCCUGAGAGGGUGACCGGCCACAUUGGGACUGAGAUACGGCCCAGACUCCUACGGGAGGCAGCAGUGGGGAAUAUUGCACAAUGGGUGGAAGCCUGAUGCAGCAACGCCGUGUGCGGGAUGACGGCCUUCGGGUUGUAAACCGCUUUCGCUCAUGACGAAGCUUUGUGUGACGGUAGUGGGUAAAGAAGCACCGGCUAACUACGUG
This 467-nucleotide ribosomal RNA is filed under the name uncultured bacterium. RNAcentral's name for it is "partial 16S ribosomal RNA". It matches the Rfam family "Bacterial small subunit ribosomal RNA", at positions 29 to 507 of the family's 1533-position model. The record is from RNAcentral.